ACUCAAAGGAAUAGACGGGGACCCGCACAAGCGGUGGAGCAUGUGGAUUAAUUCGACGCAACGCGAAGAACCUUACCAAGGCUUGACAUCCCGGCGAAUAUGUCAGAAAUGCUAUAGGCCCUUCGGGGACGCCGGAGACAGGUGGUGCAUGGUUGUCGUCAGCUCGUGUCGUGAGAUGUUGGGUUAAGUCCCGCAACGAGCGCAACCCCUAUCCUUAAUAGCCACCGGGUAGAGCCGGGCACUUUAGGGAGACUGCCGUGGAUAACACGGAGGAAGGUGGGGACGAUGUCAAAUCAUCAUGCCCCUUAUGCCUUGGGCUUCACACGUGCUACAAUGGCCCCAACAGAGUGAGGCGAAGCUGUGAAGCGGAGCAAACCACGAAAAGGGGUCCCAGUUCGGAUUGCAGGCUGCAACCCGCCUGCAUGAAGUUGGAAUCGCUAGUAAUCGCGAAUCAGCACGUCGCGGUGAAUACGUUCCCGGGUCUUGUACACACCGCCCGU
This 500-nucleotide ribosomal RNA is filed under the name uncultured bacterium. RNAcentral's name for it is "bacterial SSU rRNA". It matches the Rfam family "Bacterial small subunit ribosomal RNA", at positions 899 to 1397 of the family's 1533-position model. The record is from RNAcentral.